This 476-nucleotide ribosomal RNA is filed under the name uncultured bacterium. RNAcentral describes it as "partial 16S ribosomal RNA". It matches the Rfam family "Bacterial small subunit ribosomal RNA", at positions 356 to 819 of the family's 1533-position model. The record is from RNAcentral.
UGGGGAAUUUGGACAAUGGGGGCAACCCUGAUCCAGCAAUGCCGCGUGUGUGAAGAAGGCCUUCGGGUUGUAAAGCACUUUUGUCCGGAAAGAAAACGCCGUGGUUAAUACCCGUGGCGGAUGACGGUACCGGAAGAAUAAGCACCGGCUAACUACGUGCCAGCAGCCGCGGUAAUACGUAGGGUGCAAGCGUUAAUCGGAAUUACUGGGCGUAAAGCGUGCGCAGGCGGUCCGCUAAGACAGAUGUGAAAUCCCCGGGCUUAACCUGGGAACUGCAUUUGUGACUGGCGGGCUAGAGUAUGGCAGAGGGGGGUAGAAUUCCACGUGUAGCAGUGAAAAUGCGUAGAGAUGUGGAGGAAUACCGAUGGCGAAGGCAGCCCCCUGGGCCAAUACUGACGCUCAUGCACGAAAAGCGUGGGGGAGCAAAACAGGAUUCAGAUACCCUGGUAGUCCACGCCCUAAACGAUGUCAAACUA